GCGCGAGUGGCGGAAUUGGUAGACGCGCACGGUUCAGGUCCGUGUGAUCUUACGAUCAUGGGGUUCGAGUCCCCCCCGCGCA
RNAcentral lists this transfer RNA (82 nucleotides) under Actinomyces lilanjuaniae. RNAcentral's name for it is "Actinomyces sp. 2129 tRNA-Leu". It matches the Rfam family "tRNA". From Rfam's summary of the family: Transfer RNA (tRNA) molecules are approximately 80 nucleotides in length. Lineage: Bacteria; Bacillati; Actinomycetota; Actinomycetes; Actinomycetales; Actinomycetaceae. The record is from RNAcentral.